RNAcentral lists this small nuclear RNA (107 nucleotides) under Phocoena sinus (vaquita). The record is from RNAcentral. Lineage: Eukaryota; Metazoa; Chordata; Mammalia; Artiodactyla; Phocoenidae.
GUGCUGGCUUCAACAGCACAUAUACUAAAAUUGGAACGACACAGAGGAGAUUGGCAUGGCUCCUGUACAAGGAUGACACGCAAAUUCACGAAGAGUUCCGUAUUUUU